This 253-nucleotide ribosomal RNA is filed under the name uncultured prokaryote. RNAcentral's name for it is "partial 16S ribosomal RNA". It matches the Rfam family "Bacterial small subunit ribosomal RNA", at positions 525 to 777 of the family's 1533-position model. The record is from RNAcentral.
ACGUAGGGUGCAAGCGUUGUCCGGAAUUAUUGGGCGUAAAGAGCUCGUAGGCGGUCUGUCGCGUCGGCUGUGAAAACCCGGAGCUCAACUCCGGGCCUGCAGUCGAUACGGGCAAACUGGAGUGUUGCAGGGGAGACUGGAAUUCCUGGUGUAGCGGUGAAAUGCGCAGAUAUCAGGAGGAACACCGGUGGCGAAGGCGGGUCUCUGGGCAACAACUGACGCUGAGGAGCGAAAGCGUGGGGAGCGAACAGGA